This 704-nucleotide ribosomal RNA is filed under the name Microbacterium foliorum. RNAcentral's name for it is "bacterial SSU rRNA". It matches the Rfam family "Bacterial small subunit ribosomal RNA", at positions 785 to 1485 of the family's 1533-position model. Lineage: Bacteria; Bacillati; Actinomycetota; Actinomycetes; Micrococcales; Microbacteriaceae. The record is from RNAcentral.
CCCUGGUAGUCCACCCCGUAAACGUUGGGAACUAGUUGUGGGGUCCAUUCCACGGAUUCCGUGACGCAGCUAACGCAUUAAGUUCCCCGCCUGGGGAGUACGGCCGCAAGGCUAAAACUCAAAGGAAUUGACGGGGACCCGCACAAGCGGCGGAGCAUGCGGAUUAAUUCGAUGCAACGCGAAGAACCUUACCAAGGCUUGACAUAUACGAGAACGGGCCAGAAAUGGUCAACUCUUUGGACACUCGUAAACAGGUGGUGCAUGGUUGUCGUCAGCUCGUGUCGUGAGAUGUUGGGUUAAGUCCCGCAACGAGCGCAACCCUCGUUCUAUGUUGCCAGCACGUAAUGGUGGGAACUCAUGGGAUACUGCCGGGGUCAACUCGGAGGAAGGUGGGGAUGACGUCAAAUCAUCAUGCCCCUUAUGUCUUGGGCUUCACGCAUGCUACAAUGGCCGGUACAAAGGGCUGCAAUACCGCGAGGUGGAGCGAAUCCCAAAAAGCCGGUCCCAGUUCGGAUUGAGGUCUGCAACUCGACCUCAUGAAGUCGGAGUCGCUAGUAAUCGCAGAUCAGCAACGCUGCGGUGAAUACGUUCCCGGGUCUUGUACACACCGCCCGUCAAGUCAUGAAAGUCGGUAACACCUGAAGCCGGUGGCCUAACCCUUGUGGAGGGAGCCGUCGAAGGUGGGAUCGGUAAUUAGGACUAAG